GACGAACGCUGGCGGCGUGCCUAACACAUGCAAGUCGAGCGGAGUCGAUCGACGGAAGCCUUCGGGCGGAAGAUGGUUGACUUAGCGGCGGAUGGGUGAGUAACGCGUGGGCAACCUGCCUCGAAGACCGGGAUAACAGCCCGAAAGGGCUGCUAAUACCGGAUGUGGUCAAGGAUCCGCAUGGAUUUUUGAUUAAAGGGGAAACCCGUUUCGAGAUGGGCCCGCGUCCUAUCAGCUAGUUGGUGAGGUAAAAGCUCACCAAGGCGACGACGGGUAGCCGGCCUGAGAGGGUGACCGGCCACACUGGAAUUGAGACACGGUCCAGACUCCUACGGGGGCAGCAGUGGGGAAUCUUCCACAAUGGGCGAAAGCCUGAUGGAGCGACGCCGCGUGAGCGAAGAAGGCCUUCGGGUUGUAAGCUCUGUCUGGAGGGACGAAGGAAGUGACGGUACCUCCGGAGGAAGCCACGGCUAACUACGUGCCAGCCGCCGCGGUAACACCCACGACGAGUACUGAGCGGCG
Molecule: ribosomal RNA, 522 nt
Filed under: uncultured bacterium
Lineage: Bacteria
Description: bacterial SSU rRNA
Rfam family: Bacterial small subunit ribosomal RNA
Source: RNAcentral